Malus domestica (apple) is the source of this 634-nucleotide long non-coding RNA. RefSeq lists it as uncharacterized. NCBI's taxonomy places the organism in Eukaryota, Viridiplantae, Streptophyta, Magnoliopsida, Rosales, Rosaceae. The record is from RefSeq and is a predicted model, not a curated record.
UCUCUACUCCAGUAUAUAAAGGGCCUCUCUAUAUACCUGCAUUUACAGAUCAAACACCAUUACUUCCACAUACAGAUUAAUACUAGUCACCAGUACAAGUUAGCCGAUAGCGUUGCUUGUUUCUUCUUCAAGAUGGCCAAGACAGAGACACAAGAAACCCAACCUCCAUCAGGAUACCCAACUGAAACCGAGAAUCCCCCAACUGGGAAGAAGUUUAGACCAUGGACAAAAAAGAAAGGAGACAGAGGCUUCAUUGAGGGAUGCCUCUUCGCCUUAUGCUGCUGCUGGCUAUGUGAGGAAUGCUUCUGAAGUCCUUAUGGACAUGCUUACCAUAAUAGCUUACUCGUUUAGCAUUUCUUACCCAACUCUUUGCUAUUUGUACCUGCAUAUUCACAUUACUCUAGUAAUAUGCCAUCAUAUUUUUGUUCCCUAAGAAAUUAGGUUCAUCAACUCUUUCAGUUGUUUGCGGUUAGAUAGUGCGAAAAGGACUAUCCGUUCAUCUAUUCUCCUUAUUAGUUAGGAGAGGUUCUCAAACAUGCACCACACAUAAGCAACUUGUUUAAGCUAUAACAUUGUAAAAUAACAAUGUUUGAGAUGGGCCCUUUUUGAAUGAUUAAACUUAUUCUUCACACCA